Molecule: long non-coding RNA, 405 nt
Filed under: Nicotiana tabacum (common tobacco)
Lineage: Eukaryota; Viridiplantae; Streptophyta; Magnoliopsida; Solanales; Solanaceae
Description: long non-coding RNA (NTAB_LNC010280)
Source: RNAcentral
CUCCACUUUCUUAAUCACAUCCAUUCCUUCAAUAACUUGACCAAACACCACGUGUUUUCCGUCGAGCCACUCGGUUUUGGCCGUACAAAUGAAAAACUGCGAUCCGUUAGUUCCAGGGCCAGCAUUAGCCAUGGAGAGAAUUCCAGGUCCAGUAUGCUUUUUAACGAAAUUCUCGUCGGCGAAUUUGGCGCCGUAGAUCGAUUCACCACCGGUACCGUUUCCGGCAGUGAAAUCACCUCCUUGACACAUAAAUCCAGGGAUCACACGGUGAAAUGAUGAUCCUUUGUAGUGUAACGGCUUGCCGGACUUUCCGACGCCUUUCUCUCCGGUACAGAGUGCUCGGAAAUUAUCCGCCGUUUUCGGAACUACAUCGUUGAACAAUUCCAUCACUACACGGCCAGUCGG